Zonotrichia leucophrys gambelii is the source of this 2424-nucleotide long non-coding RNA. RefSeq lists it as uncharacterized. The record is from RefSeq and is a predicted model, not a curated record. NCBI's taxonomy places the organism in Eukaryota, Metazoa, Chordata, Aves, Passeriformes, Passerellidae. The transcript is spliced from 3 exons.
AAAUGAGGGGCUUUGGCGUGAAAUGAGUGAGAAAUGAGGGGGUUUGGGGUGAAAUGAGUGAGAAAUGAGGGGGUUUGGGGUGAAAUGAGGGGAUUUGGGGCGCGAAGGGGGGAGACGUGAGGGGAUUUGGGGUGAAAUGUGGAGGUUUGAGGGGUUUGGGUGAGAAACGAGGGGAUUUGGGUGAGGUAUGAGGGGAUUUUGGAUGAAAUGAAGGGAUUUGAGGGAAAGGAGUGAGAAAUGAGAGAGUUUGAGGAGAAAUGAGAGGAUUUGGGACAAAAAAGUGAGAAAUGAGGGAACUUGGGGGAGGUAUGAGGGGAUUCGGGGUGAAAUGAGGGGAUUUGAGGGUUUUGGGUGAGAAAUGAGGGAAUUUGGGGUGGAAAGAGGAGAGUUGAGGUGAAAUCAGGGGAUUUGAGGAGAAAUGAGGCAAUUUGGGGUAAAGGAGUGAGAAAUGAGGGGAUUUUGGGUGAAAUGAGGGGAUUUGAGGAGUUUGGGUGAGAAAUGAGGGGGUUUGGGGUAAAUGAGUGAGAAACGAGAGGAUUUGGGAGAGAAAUUACGAGAUUUGGGGUGAAAUAAGGAGAUUCGAGGGAUUUGGGAAAGAAAUGAUGUGAUUUGUGGAGUUUGGGGAAGAAAUGGGAAGAUUUGGGGUGAAACGAGGGGUUUGGGGAAGAAAUGGGAGGAUUUGAGGAGAUUUUGGGGAAAUCAGGAGUUUUUGGGGGAAGAUUUGAGGGAAAUCCAAAAGUUCUGAAGAGUCUCAGAGAGAAUUUGGUGAAAAUCUCAAGAUUUGGGGGAAAUCCAGAGGUUUUAGGUGGAUUUGAGGGAAUUCUCAGGUUUUGAGGAACCUCAGAGUAAAUUUGGUGGAAAUCAGGAGGUUUUGGGGGGAAAAUUGGAGGUUUUGGGGGAAAUUCUGAAGUUUUGAGGGAAAUUCUGAAGUUUUGAGGAGUCUCAGAGGGGAUUUGGGGAAAAAUCAAAAGAUUUUGGGGUUCCCUCUGGGAUUUUGGGGCAAAAUCAGGAGGUUUUCAGUGAAAUUGGGAGGUUUUGGCUGAAAUCAGGAGGUUUUGGGGUGAAAUCGGGGGAUUUGGGGCUCUCAGAUGAUUUUGGGGUGAAAUCGGGAGGUUUUGGGGUCACUGAGGAAGCCCCGCCCCCAACGGAUGAAGCCCCGCCCUCUUUCCAGGACCCUGCGCUCCCCAUUGGUCCGAGCUCUGUGACGUCAUCGCGGGUGGCACCAAUCAGAGCCUGGAGCUCCGGAGCCCCCCCAGCCUGAGGAGAGCCCCCAAAAUCCCCCAAAUUCACCCCAAAAAAUCCCAAAUUCACCCCAAAAAAUCCCAAAUUCACCCCAAAACCCCCAGGACCCCCAAAACCCCAAAUUCACCCCAAAACCCCCCAAAUUUUCCCCCAAAAAACCCCAAAUUAUCCCCAAAUCACCCCAAAAUCCCCCUGGGACUCCCCAACCCCCCCAAAAUUGGGGUUGGGGACCCCCAAAUUCCCCCCAGGACCCCCCAAAUCCUCCCCAAAUUUCCAUUUUUUGGAAUUGGGGACCCCCAAAUUCCCAUUUUUUGGGGUCAGGACCCCCCAAAAUUUCCAUUUUUAGGGUUCUGGUCCCUUAAAAUCCCCCCAAAUUUCGGAUUUUUGGGGUUGAGACCCCCAAAUCUUUCCCAAAUUUCAGAUUUUUUGGGUCAGAACCCCCAAAUCUGCCUCAAAAUUUGGAUUUUUGGCGUUGAAACCCCCAAAUCUUUCUCAAAUUUUGGAUUUUUGGGUCGGAACUUCCAAACCCUCCCCAAAUUUCGGAUUUUUGGGCUCGUGCCCCCCAGAACUCCCCAAAAUUUUUGAUUUUUGGGUUCAACUCCCCCCUUAAAUUCCCAUUUUUUGGGGUCAGAACCCCCCAAAUUUCAGAUUUUCGUCCUUGUGCCCCCCGAACUCUCCUCAAAUUUCACAUUUUUUGUCUUUAGGACCCCCAAAUUCCCAUUUUUUGGCUCAGAACCCCACAAAUUUCAGAUUUUUGCCUUCAAACCUCCCAAAUUCCCAUUUUUUUGCCCCAGACCCCCCCAAAUUUCACAUUUUUUGGGUGAGAAUUCCAAAAAUUUCUGAUUUCCACCCUCAGACCCUCCAAAUUUCAGAUUUUUGGGCUCAGAACCCCCAAAUUUUUAAUUUUUCCUCUCAAAUCCCCCCAAAUUUCAGAUUUUUGAGGUCAGAACCCCCAAAUUUUUGAUUUUUCUCCUCUAACCCCCCGAAAUUUCAGAUUUUUGGGCUCAGAACCGCCAAAUUCCCAUUUUUUGGCCUCAAACUCCUCCCAAAUUUUUGAUUUUUGCCCUCUAAACCCCCCCAAAAUUCAGAUUUUCCCCCUUAAAGCCCCCAAAUUUCCGAUUUUUGCCCCCAAAUUUCCGAUUUUUCCCUGAAAUUUCCAAUUUUUGCCCCCAAAUUUUCCAA